AGGAAGAGAGAAUGCCGGAAUGAGUAGCGAGAUGAAGGUGAGAAUCCUUCAGGCCGAAUAUCUAAGGUUUCCAGAGUAAAGCUGAUCUGCUCUGGGUAAGUCGGGACCUAAGGCGAGGUCGAAAGACGUAGUCGAUGGAUAACAGGUUGAAAUUCCUGUACCGCAUAUAAACAGAACUGUGGGGACACAGACAGGGAAUGGAAUCCGGGGAUGGAGAACCCGGAGCAAGCGAGGUAGGAGUAUCAUUGGCAAAACCGUGAUACUGAUCUGAAGACGUGAUGCGUACCGAACAUAAGUAGGGAAGUCCAGGCCCCUGGCUGUCAAGAAAAGCCGCUAUUGUUUUAUAUGUGCCCGUACCGCAAACCGACACAGGUGGAUGAGGAGAGAAUCCUAAGGCCGACGGGAGAAGUAUUGUUAAGGAACUCGGCAAAAUGACUCCGUAACUUCGGGAGAAGGAGUGCCAUGAGAGUGGCCGCAGAGAAAUGGCCCAAGCAACUGUUUAGCAAAAACACAGGUCUAUGCAAAACCGCAAGGUGAAGUAUAUGGGCUGACGCCUGCCCGGUGCUGGAAGGUUAAGGGGAGAGGUUAGCGCAAGCGAAGCUUUGAACUUAAGCCCCAGUAAACGGCGGCCGUAACUAUAACGGUCCUAAGGUAGCGAAAUUCCUUGUCGGGUAAGUUCCGACCCGCACGAAAGGCGUAAUGAUUUGGGCACUGUCUCAACGAUACACCCGGUGAAAUUGAAAUACCAGUGAAGAUGCUGGUUACCUGCGCCAGGACGGAAAGACCCCAUGGAGCUUUACUCCAGUUUGAUACUGGGAUUCGGCAUGGUAUGUACAGGAUAGGUGGGAGACUGAGAAGGUAUGACGUCAGUUGUACCGGAGUCGCUGUUGGGAUACCACCCUUACCAUGUUGGAUUUCUAACCUGUGGCCGUGAACCGGUCAGGGGACAAUGUCAGGCGGGGAGUUUGACUGGGGCGGUCGCCUCCGAAAGGGUAUCGGAGGCGCUCAAAGGUUCCCUCAGAAUGGUUGGAAACCAUUCGAAGAGUGCAAAGGCAGAAGGGAGCUUGACUGUGACACCGACGGGUGGAGCAGGUACGAAAGUAGGACUUAGUGAUCCGGUGGUAUAAAGUGGGAUUGCCAUCGCUCAACGGAUAAAAGCUACCCUGGGGAUAACAGGCUUAUCACUCCCAAGAGUUCACAUCGACGGAGUGGUUUGGCACCUCGAUGUCGGCUCAUCGCAUCCUGGAGCUGUAGCAGGUUCCAAGGGUUGGGCUGUUCGCCCAUUAAAGCGGUACGCGAGCUGGGUUCAGAACGUCGUGAGACAGUUCGGUCCCUAUCCGGCGCAGGCGGAGGAAAUUUGAUAGGAGCUGUCCUUAGUACGAGAGGACCGGGAUGGACGGACCGCUGGUGUAUCUGUUGUACUGCCAAGUGCAUCGCAGAGUAGCCAAGUCUGGAAGGGAUAAACGCUGAAGGCAUCUAAGCGUGAAGCCCCCCUAAAGAUAAGAUUUCCCAUACCGAAAGGUAGUAAGACCCCUUGAAGACGACGAGGUAGAUAGGGCAGAGGUGGAAGU
Molecule: ribosomal RNA, 1571 nt
Filed under: Anaerostipes hadrus
Lineage: Bacteria; Bacillati; Bacillota; Clostridia; Lachnospirales; Lachnospiraceae
Description: partial 23S ribosomal RNA
Rfam family: Bacterial large subunit ribosomal RNA
Source: RNAcentral